CCAUCCCAGUUCGGAUCGCAGGCUGCAACCCGCCUGCGUGAAGUUGGAAUCGCUAGUAGUCGCGGAUCAGCAUGCCGCGGUGAAUACGUUCCCGGGCCUUGUACACACCGCCCGUCACACCAUGAGAGUCGGGAACACCCGAAGUCCGUAGUCUAACCGCAAGGGGACGCGGCCGAAGGUGGGUUCGAUAAUUGGGGUGAAGUCGUAACAAGGUAUC
This 217-nucleotide ribosomal RNA is filed under the name uncultured bacterium. Its description in RNAcentral is "partial 16S ribosomal RNA". It matches the Rfam family "Bacterial small subunit ribosomal RNA", at positions 1283 to 1500 of the family's 1533-position model. The record is from RNAcentral.